UUCAAAUACAUCUGAAGCAAACUCCACAAUGUUUUCUGUAUUAACAUGUAUCCAGAUUAAAGAUUCAAUCAUAAACUUUAUUUAAAUGACUUUUCUCUUCCCAACACAGGUCUGAUCCACGGUGCUAAGGAUCUGAAGUGUGAAGUGAGACCUGGGUCUUCUGGAUUUUGCAGUUCUCUGCUUCAUUAGGACCAGGAACUUGUCUGAGCCCAGAGAGAGCCUGAGUGGUGACGUUCAAAGGGAGAAGAUAAGCCUGGACUUCUUGGAAAGGAUGUUAGAGGAAGACAAGAAUCAUAUUGAAUUUAUGGCCCAGGCAAAUUGCAUAUGACCUCAUCUUAACUUGAUGACAUCUACAAAGACUCCAUUUCCAGCUCACGGUGAAGGAACCCUGAGAGGACAGAGCUAUGUGAUGGAAUGAGCCAGGAUCCCUGAGUCCUCACCUAGAGAAGAGAUGUGCAGAAGAGCCACUCAACAGAUGGUGGUGUGCUGAUAAACAUUUAGUGACCCAUUUGGGGUAUGGGGAAAGGCUCUAGUCAGUAACAUUUGUUCAUUUCUGUUAUGUAUACUCCCAGUAUGGCUGCGUUUAGACAACCAAGGUGAUGUCACUGAACACAGUUUGGAAUGGAUGCACAUAAUCAGUUCUUAUGAUGCUGGAUGAACCAACCCCAGCACACCACUGCCCCCAACCCACAUGUAACUGUGUCAUAAUUUUAAUUUAAAAAUAAACAUAUUUGGUUAAGCCUUUGAGAUUCAUUGGGGAUUGUUUGUUAUAGCAACUAGAUAGUGUUAACCUAGCUAAUAU
Molecule: long non-coding RNA, 802 nt
Filed under: Callithrix jacchus (white-tufted-ear marmoset)
Lineage: Eukaryota; Metazoa; Chordata; Mammalia; Primates; Cebidae
Description: lncRNA (ENSCJAG00000079290.1)
Source: RNAcentral